UACAGAGGGGGCAAGCGUUGUUCGGAAUUACUGGGCGUAAAGCGCACGCAGGCGGUCUGUCAAGUCGGAUGUGAAAUCCCCGGGCUCAACCCGGGAACUGCAUUCGAAACUGGCAGGCUAGAGUCUCGUAAAGGGGGGUAGAAUUCCAGGUGUAGCGGUGAAAUGCGUAGAGAUCUGGAGGAAUACCGGUGGCGAAGGCGGCCCCCUGGACGAAGACUGACGCUCAGGUGCGAAAGCGUGGGGAGCAAACAGG
Molecule: ribosomal RNA, 253 nt
Filed under: uncultured bacterium
Lineage: Bacteria
Description: partial 16S ribosomal RNA
Rfam family: Bacterial small subunit ribosomal RNA
Source: RNAcentral